Molecule: non-coding RNA, 886 nt
Organism: Python bivittatus (Burmese python)
Lineage: Eukaryota; Metazoa; Chordata; Lepidosauria; Squamata; Pythonidae
Source: RefSeq, a predicted model, not a curated record
AGGACUACCUGUAAAAAGAAAUUCCCCGGUAUUAAAUUAAAAAGCAUUGAGCAACAGCAACAUAGGACUGGUCAUUAUAGCACUAAAGUAAGAAGAUAUGAGAAACAGUCUUGUUUUAGCUAAAAGCCUGGAAAGAAAAAUAAAGUACAAGAGCUAGCAAAUCCCUUUAGGCAAGGCGUUUUCUAAGGGGAUACUACUUGAGAAAAGAUCUUGCUCCUAACAAAGUCUACCAAGUCUUAAUCAGCAAUAAUACCAGGCGCAAAAUGUUUUAUAAGAGCAGAGGAGUGCAAAUAUUAUGUUAUCUUUCUAAAGCGGGAAGCUCAAAAGACAAGUAAUAGUGUUUGUGAGUUUUGCCAGCAAGAUAAGAUGGAAUCAGUUAUUAAUCUUAUCAUUUUACUACCAUUGCAAAAACAUAAUUUUGCAGUAUCUUUUUAGUUUUAUCAAAACUAAAAAUUGAUUACAUAUUAUUUUUCGAUAGAUUGAAGAACUGAAGCAUUCACAAAAGAUAGAAAUAACAAACAUCAAGCUGGAAACAGCAAGAGCAAAGAGUGAGAUAGAAAGAGAAAGGAACAAGAUUCAAAGUGAACUUGAUGGAUUACAUUCAGAUAAUGAAAUACUUAAGAAAACUCUUGAGCGGCACAAAGUGCUUUCAGUAGAAAAGGAUCGUGAAUUAGUACGUAAAGUACAAGCUGCAAAAGAAGAAGGCUUCCAGAAACUUGCAGCAUUACAGGAGGAGAAGUUAGAACUUGAAACUAAAUUAACUGAACUAGAGAAGAUCAGAAUGGAACAAGAUACUCAGAGGCAAUCAGAGAAGGAUCAGUAUGAAGAAAAGAUUUCUUCUAUGCGCUUGGAAGAAGACUCCACUAGAAGGGAAAUCCAGAGUCUU